This 200-nucleotide long non-coding RNA is filed under the name Elaeis guineensis (African oil palm). Its description in RNAcentral is "long non-coding RNA (EGUI_LNC034861)". The record is from RNAcentral. Lineage: Eukaryota; Viridiplantae; Streptophyta; Magnoliopsida; Arecales; Arecaceae.
UCCUAAGGACUUCAUCACAACAUAGGAGUUUGUUAAAAGAUGUAACCUUGUGAUGAAAAAGAUCAAAUAACUUUUAUUAUUUAUCAAUUCAUAUACAUUUGUAAUUAGCAUAAUCAUCAAACUAUUGCUUUACGACACAAUUCUCAAUAGUUAUAUACUUAAUAAAAUUUUAAGUAAGUCUAUAAGUAAAACACCGUAUG